RNAcentral lists this ribosomal RNA (497 nucleotides) under uncultured bacterium. RNAcentral describes it as "partial 16S ribosomal RNA". It matches the Rfam family "Bacterial small subunit ribosomal RNA", at positions 28 to 507 of the family's 1533-position model. The record is from RNAcentral.
GAUGAACGCUGGCGGCGUGCCUAAUACAUGCAAGUCGAGCGAACAGACGAGGAGCUUGCUCCUUCGACGUUAGCGGCGGACGGGUGAGUAACACGUAGGUAACCUACCUAUAAGACUGGGAUAACUUCGGGAAACCGGAGCUAAUACCGGAUAAUAUUUCGAACCGCAUGGUUCGAUAGUGAAAGAUGGCUUUGCUAUCACUUAUAGAUGGACCUGCGCCGUAUUAGCUAGUUGGUAAGGUAACGGCUUACCAAGGCAACGAUACGUAGCCGACCUGAGAGGGAGAUAGGGCACAAUGGAACUGAGAAACGGUACAGACUCCUAAGGGAGGCAGCAGUAGGGAAUCUUCCGCAAAGGGCGAAAGCCUGACGGAGAAACGCCGCGUGAGUGAUGAAGGUAUUCGGAUCGUAAAACUCUGUUAAUAGGGAAGAACAAACGUGUAAGUAACUGUGCACGACUUGGCGGUACCUAAUCAGAAAGCCACGGCUAACUACGUG